GUGAGGAAUUUUCCGCAAUGGGCGAAAGCCUGACGGAGCAAUGCCGCGUGAAGGAUGAAGGCCUAUGGGUUGUAAACUUCUUUUCUCAGAAAAGAAUUAUGACGGUAUCUGAGGAAUAAGCAUCGGCUAACUCUGUGCCAGCAGCCGCGGUAAGACAGAGGAUGCAAGCGUUAUCCGGAAUGAUUGGGCGUAAAGCGUCUGUAGGUUGUUUAAAAAGUAUUCUGUCAAAGAUUAGGGCUUAACCCUAGAUAGGCAGAAUAAACUUUUAAGCUAGAGUUUGGUAGAGGCAGAGGGAAUGCCCUGUGGAGCGGUGAAAUGCGUAGAUAUCGGGAGGAACACCAAAGGCGAAGGCACUCUGCUGGGCCAAUACUAACACUGAGAGACGAAAGCGAGGGGAGCAAAUGGGAUUAGAUACCCGAGUAGUCC
RNAcentral lists this ribosomal RNA (426 nucleotides) under uncultured bacterium. RNAcentral's name for it is "partial 16S ribosomal RNA". It matches the Rfam family "Bacterial small subunit ribosomal RNA", at positions 354 to 796 of the family's 1533-position model. The record is from RNAcentral.